Molecule: transfer RNA, 77 nt
Filed under: Ralstonia solanacearum
Lineage: Bacteria; Pseudomonadati; Pseudomonadota; Betaproteobacteria; Burkholderiales; Burkholderiaceae
Also listed under: 4 other names
Description: tRNA-Pro
Rfam family: tRNA (bases 20-77)
About the family: Transfer RNA (tRNA) molecules are approximately 80 nucleotides in length. Their secondary structure includes four short double-helical elements and three loops (D, anti-codon, and T loops).
Source: RNAcentral
GACACUGAGCGUCUCUUGGGGCUCGGGAGCAAACGCUUCGGACGCGUUGGAUGCGGGUUCGAUUCCCGCCGGCGCCG